This 253-nucleotide ribosomal RNA is filed under the name uncultured bacterium. RNAcentral describes it as "partial 16S ribosomal RNA". It matches the Rfam family "Bacterial small subunit ribosomal RNA", at positions 524 to 776 of the family's 1533-position model. The record is from RNAcentral.
UACGUAGGGCGCGAGCGUUAUCCGGAAUUAUUGGGCGUAAAGAGCUCGUAGGCGGUUUGUCGCGUCUGCUGUGAAAACUGGAGGCUCAACCUCCAGCCUGCAGUGGGUACGGGCAGACUCGAGUGCGGUAGGGGAGAUUGGAAUUCCUGGUGUAGCGGUGGAAUGCGCAGAUAUCAGGAGGAACACCGAUGGCGAAGGCAGAUCUCUGGGCCGUAACUGACGCUGAGGAGCGAAAGCAUGGGGAGCGAACAGG